Molecule: transfer RNA, 73 nt
Filed under: Canis lupus familiaris (dog)
Lineage: Eukaryota; Metazoa; Chordata; Mammalia; Carnivora; Canidae
Also listed under: 1 other name
Rfam family: tRNA
About the family: Transfer RNA (tRNA) molecules are approximately 80 nucleotides in length. Their secondary structure includes four short double-helical elements and three loops (D, anti-codon, and T loops). Further hydrogen bonds mediate the characteristic L-shaped molecular structure. tRNAs have two regions of fundamental functional importance: the anti-codon, which is responsible for specific mRNA codon recognition, and the 3' end, to which the tRNAs corresponding amino acid is attached (by aminoacyl-tRNA synthetases). tRNAs cope with the degeneracy of the genetic code in two manners: having more than one tRNA (with a specific anti-codon) for a particular amino acid; and 'wobble' base-pairing, i.e. permitting non-standard base-pairing at the 3rd anti-codon position.
Source: Rfam by way of RNAcentral
ACCUGGUUCGCUCAGUUGGUGGAGCAUGCGACUCUUGAUCACAGGGUUGUGGGUUUGAGCCCCACACUGGGUG